This 408-nucleotide ribosomal RNA is filed under the name uncultured bacterium. RNAcentral describes it as "partial 16S ribosomal RNA". It matches the Rfam family "Bacterial small subunit ribosomal RNA", at positions 28 to 526 of the family's 1533-position model. The record is from RNAcentral.
GACGAACGCUGGCGGCGUGCUUAACACAUGCAAGUCGAACGCAGUGGCGAACGGGUGAGUAACGCGUAAUCAACCUGCCCUUCAGAGGGGGAUAACAGUUGGAAACGACUGCUAAUACCGCAUACUGAAGGAGGGGAUUGCGUCUGAGUAGCUAGGUGGAGGGGUAACGGCCCACCAAGGCGAUGAUCAGUAGCCGGUCUGAGAGGAUGAACGGCCACAUUGGAACUGAGAAACGGCCCAGACUCCUACGGGAGGCAGAAGUGGGGAAUCUUCCGGAAUGGAGGAAAGUCUUACGGAGCAAGGCCGCGUGAGGGAUGACGGCCUUCGGGUUGUAAAGCUCUGUUAAUCGGGACGCGGUACCGGAAUAGAAAGCCACGGCUAACUACGUGCCAGCAGCCGAGGUAAUAC